Long non-coding RNA from Betta splendens (Siamese fighting fish), 345 nucleotides. RefSeq lists it as uncharacterized. The record is from RefSeq and is a predicted model, not a curated record. The transcript is spliced from 2 exons. Lineage: Eukaryota; Metazoa; Chordata; Actinopteri; Anabantiformes; Osphronemidae.
CUAUCUCGAACAUAAAGCCCAUCUUGGUGCCGGAGAUGACCUUUUCGUAGAAGCAUUCCUCGGCAUGGGCGUCUAUGCUAACGAAGUAGCCGGAAGCGGCGGCAGAGAGGACGGCCAGCAACAAAACCGGCUCAAAGACGGAAAGCCCCAUCAUGAGACCUUCAGAGCGUGUUCCCUGAAGAAGCGCAGGGCGUGAGCAAACACCUCGAUGGCCCUGACCCUGCGACCGUUGACCGCCUCCAGCUCCGUUUCCAUGGUGAGGUCCUGGAAGCGACAAGUUCCCACUAUGAACCCUUUUUAUUUAAAAUGUGAUUAAAAUGUGACUGAACUAUAACCUCUGAGAAA